GAUGAACGCUGGCGGCGUGCCUAAUACAUGCAAGUCGAGCGAACGGACGAGAAGCUUGCUUCUCUGAUGUUAGCGGCGGACGGGUGAGUAACACGUGGAUAACCCACCUAUAAGACUGGGAUAACUUCGGGAAACCGUAGCUAAUACCGGAUAAUAUUUUGAACCGCAUGGUUCAAAAGUGAAAGACGGUCUUGCUGUCACUUAUAGAUGGAUCCGCGCUGCAUUAGCUAGUUGGUAAGGUAACGGCUUACCAAGGCAACGAUGCAUAGCCGACCUGAGAGGGUGAUCGGCCACACUGGAACUGAGACACGGUCCAGACUCCUACGGGAGGCAGCAGUAGGGAAUCUUCCGCAAUGGGCGAAAGCCUGGCGGAGCAACGCCGCGUGAGUGAUGAAGGUCUUCGGAUCGUAAAACUCUGUUAUUAGGGAAGAACAUAUGUGUAAGUAACUGUGCACAUCUUGACGGUACCUAAUCAGAAAGCCACGGCUAACUACGUG
This 497-nucleotide ribosomal RNA is filed under the name uncultured bacterium. RNAcentral's name for it is "partial 16S ribosomal RNA". It matches the Rfam family "Bacterial small subunit ribosomal RNA", at positions 28 to 507 of the family's 1533-position model. The record is from RNAcentral.